AGGACGAACGCUGGCGGCGUGCUUAACACAUGCAAGUCGAGCGGUAAGGCCCUUUCGGGGGUACACGAGCGGCGAACGGGUGAGUAACACGUGAGCAAUCUGCCCUUCACUUCGGGAUAAGCCUCGGAAACGGGGUCUAAUACCGGAUAUGACCGCGCUACGCAUGUGGUGUGGUGGAAAGUUCUGGCGGUGGAGGAUGAGCUCGCGGCCUAUCAGCUUGUUGGUGGGGUAAUGGCCUACCAAGGCUUCGACAGGUAGCCGGCCUGAGAGGGUGACCGGCCACGACUGGGACUGAGACACGGCCCAGACUCCUACGGGAGGCAGCAGUGGGGAAUAUUGGACAAUGGGCGAAAGCCUGAUCCAGCAACGCCGCGUGAGGAUGACGGCCUUCGGGUUGUAAGCCUCUUCAGCGCGACGAAGCGAGAGUGACGGUAGGCGCGAGAAGAAGCACCGGCCAACGUACGUGCCAGCGAGCCGCGGUAACUCGUGGAGCCGGGCGUAGGCGAA
This 507-nucleotide ribosomal RNA is filed under the name uncultured soil bacterium. RNAcentral's name for it is "bacterial SSU rRNA". It matches the Rfam family "Bacterial small subunit ribosomal RNA", at positions 33 to 541 of the family's 1533-position model. The record is from RNAcentral.